Non-coding RNA from Neopestalotiopsis sp. 37M, 85 nucleotides. Lineage: Eukaryota; Fungi; Ascomycota; Sordariomycetes; Amphisphaeriales; Sporocadaceae. The record is from the annotation of a GenBank genome assembly.
GGGGAUGUGGUCUAGUGGUAUGACGUUUCCUUAGCAUACUUACGAGGUAUGGAAAAGGUUCUGGGUUCGAUUCCCAGCUUCUCCA